GCGAAUCUAAUUCGGCCGCUCGAAGGGCUGCUGCCCCAGAGAUUGUUGAAUCGCACGCAGAUCCAAUCCAGAAAUGAAUUACACGAACUAUCGCAGUCGAUUUUAUCUCCUUAACCUGUUUAAACGAUAUAAAUAAUAUAGUUUACGCAUAUGAUCAAACUGUGAGUGUUUAUAUAAAUUCAAAUUUUUAUAAACAUAACUAAAAAAGGAUAUCUUUUAAUUUUCCAGAAAUGCAUUCGAAGUCUACAUAUGAUUAAUCAAAAAUCAUAGUGGUGAGAAAGAAUUACCGGCAUUCCAGGAUAAGGUAGUGGACCGUCUUUCGGUGACACCGCGUAGAUAAUGUAUGCCAACUCCGAGAGGAAAUGUCCCAUAUUACUUCCUGUAACGGCUGUAACUCGUAAACCCUGUUGCACGAACAUUAAAGGAAAAUUUAGUACUUCGCACUUUCACUCUUUGUACUUCUUAAACUCUCGAAAAGCAGCGUAGCUAACUAAAACUAUGUGAUAAUCUAAACUGCGUGCAUAUAUCGUAAUAUAACGGGGAGUAUAAAUUAUGUUGCAUUUUUAUUUUGUUACGGUACCUCGAUUUUCCAAAUGCGAAACGUACUGCUGUUCCUCGGAACAUUCUUAAAGAUUUCACCGUUAGAAUCAUCGGAACGGCAGGUUCUGUCGUCCUGAGACACAUAAUUGAAAUUUGACUUUUAGGAAACUGUACUCUUUUUUAAGUAGGUAAAUUUUGUAUAAAUAACUUUUAUCAUAUGACAAAACAAUCUUUUGUUAUUUGAAUAAAUUUUGCAAAUGAAUCUUGUUUUGUACGUGCAAAAUAGUCCGGUAAUAACGUUAUCGCGAACUUUAAUCUCAUGGAUUUAUAAUGGGUCAUGAUAUCGAAUUGAUGUGGUCAUUGGUCAUAUAUGCGUUAUCGAGCAAAAAUAAGAAACAAGCGAUAUGGUAAAUGAAUCCGUGAAAUUACAAUUUCAGUCAUUUUCGCGGUAAAAUUAUAUUGACCUUCGUUUCUCCUGGUAGUGUGGGACAUACAAUAGCUCACAAAAGUAUUUGAAUACUUGUGGGAAUUCUGUUUGGAUAUAUCAUAUGCGUUAUACGAAACAUUAUGGGAUUUCAUUAGCACUUUAACAAGACACAACUACCGUGAUUAUAUUGAUAAAAUUUGAAACGAAUCUGAAGAUGUAUAUAGAAGUUGCAAGAUAUUUAUAAUACAUAUAAUAUAUUCAUUAAAAAUUCUCAUGAAUGUUUAAAUACUUUCGUGAGACAUUGUAUUCUGUUUUCUUUUAUACUUUGCAUAGUCCAAGUUAGUGUAAUAAUAAUACCGGCCCGUAUAUUCUCCUCACGCUUUCCUUCACUCAAUCGAAAUCGUUAUUUCUACUGUAUCUUUAAUUACACACCGGCUCUUCGAUCUUUCCCAAUAGUUCUGACAUUUGCCACUGUUCCUUGGUUUUCAAACACGAUUUUAUUUUUCGCGCUCUUAUCGAUCACUGACCGUCCGAUCCUUUAUGAAUUACUUGUCUAUUUGAAAAUGAUCGAGCACCUGCUUGAUCGUUUCUGAUCUCGAACUCGGAAUCACGACACGAGUGUGCGCGCCUGUAUUUCGCAACGGAGAAACGCGAUCAGUGCUCGCACUGAACGGUUGCUGGCAGAAAACUGGGGUAUGAGAACUCACGGGAGUGAGGUCCUCGGAAGGACUUAAUCGCAGGUGAUCCGUAAUCGUGUGUAUGUAUGUUUGUGCACGCAACUAUUAUAUGUAAGCCUGUUUCUCUCUAUGUUUAUGUUUGCGGCCAUAAUUGAACGGCCUAAAGAAAUAUAGCUGGCGAAAUAAUCAUUAUUUUUAUCAAAAAUUAAUUGCCGUGUACUUUUCACGGCGGAUGGUGUUUCUACUGGAGCAGAAUGUAAGCAAGAAUAAGUGUUACAGAGAAGCGGAUGUAUAUUGUUUCUGUAUCCGCAGAAAUAACUUCCAAUUAGACGCGGUGGCACAGUUUGAAUGUGGGGAAUAUUCAUAUUUGAUACUUAAUUGGUAACGAACAAUAGAUAAUUAUGGACCUUCCUGAAAAAAGGAUCGCGUUAUUUCGAUAAUCUCUGGACUUACUGUUACUGGAGUUACUGUCACUGGACUAAGCUAAAUCCAUAGACAUUCGUUUCGACACGAAUAACUUUUUAUGACUGAUUUGUUAAUUAUUUCUAUGCUUUCCACAGAUAUCUAUCGUGCGUUGUCCUGGUUUUGCUACAAUAUAUGUAUUUCAAUAGCGAUGAGGUAACAUGCUGCUACCUCCGGGUGUGCGCCGAUUGCCGUUAAUGCUCUAACUUGCACAUAGGUGUAGGUGAUGCAAAGUGCAACGUUCGCACGUAUACAACCACGCUAUUGUCUUUGCAGAUAAUGCAGAUGCAUCUCCACGUUCAUUCAUGUCCACGCCCGCACACACGUACGUUACGAACGGUACGUGUGUACACUGUACACGUGUUAUUCGAGCGUCGUCCGCGACGAUCAUUUGCGGCAGGAAGUGGUGACUGCACUUGCCGCACGCCCACUAACCUGUACAUAGCCGAAUCUCUCGCGAAUGAUCGCUUCGCGAGGAAGUAAAAAUUGUUGUUAUACAAGUUGACGCUGUUUUACCAGAUUUAUAGUGCGGGAAAAACGCUUUUGCUUUAGCAGUAAUACGUUUUGCGUCUUUGGUUUCACAUAGUUACGCUCCUCUGCAGACUUACCCGUCUAGAGAAAUCCAUCGUUCUUUCUUCUCCGUUUUUCCGUCACGUCAUUUAAAGGAAUGUAUACGAACGAAUCCGCGGCGAUAUGCACGAAG
This is a long non-coding RNA of Bombus pyrosoma, 2809 nucleotides long. RefSeq lists it as uncharacterized. The record is from RefSeq and is a predicted model, not a curated record. Lineage: Eukaryota; Metazoa; Arthropoda; Insecta; Hymenoptera; Apidae. The transcript is spliced from 3 exons.